UUUGGAAGAUGAUGACACAAUACAAACAAAUUACCAAAGCACCAGCAAUGCUGAAUUGUUUAUUUGCACGUCAGUCUGAUCCAAA
Molecule: small nucleolar RNA, 85 nt
Organism: Humulus lupulus (European hop)
Lineage: Eukaryota; Viridiplantae; Streptophyta; Magnoliopsida; Rosales; Cannabaceae
Product: small nucleolar RNA Z122
Exons: 1
Source: RefSeq, a predicted model, not a curated record